GAGGUUGUGCGGGACAACCUUCUCCUGACAGAAGGAUGUCGCUGCUGAGCCUGUCUUGGCUGGGCCUCAGGCCGGUGGCAGCAUCCCCGUGGCUGCUCCUGCUGGUGGUCGGGGCCUCCUGGCUCCUGGCCCGCAUCCUGGCCUGGACCUAUGCCUUCUAUCACAACGGCCGCCGCCUCCGGUGUUUCCCGCAGCCCCGGAAACAGAACUGGUUCUUGGGUCACCUGGGCCUGGGACGACCUGGCCCAGUUGCCCUUCCUGACCAUGUGCCUGAAGGAGAGCCUGCGGUUGCAUCCCCCAAUCCCUACAUUCGCCCGCGGCUGCACCCAGGACGUGGUGCUCCCAGACAGCCGAGUCAUCCCCAAAGGGAAUGUCUGUAACAUCAACAUCUUCGCAAUCCAUCACAACCCCUCAGUCUGGCCAGACCCUGAGGUCUAUGACCCCUUCCGCUUCGACCCAGAAAACGCCCAGAAGAGGUCACCUAUGGCUUUUAUUCCUUUCUCGGCGGGGCCCAGAAGUUCGCGAUGGCAGAGAUGAAGGUGGUCCUGGCGCUCACGCUGCUGCGCUUCCGCAUCCUGCCCGACCACAGGGAGCCACGCAGGACGCCGGAGAUUGUUUUGCGUGCGGAGGACGGACUUUGGCUGCGAGUAGAACCCCUGGGCUGAGGCCUGCAGUGACCCACCCACCUACCUUUGCAUCACCUACCUUUGCACCAACUACCUUUUCAGAUUUCCGGUAAUAAAUCUGUGUUGGCCCCUGUGCCUCAGUCCCGCGGAUGGCCAGUAGGGGGCGCUGGAGGACUGCGGGGAUCUAGGGCCUGGCUGGGAAGAGGCGGGGAGAUGUCUCUGUGCCCAAGAUACUCACUGCCUCUCUGGGUGAGCACAGGAGCCCCGUG
Molecule: long non-coding RNA, 895 nt
Filed under: Homo sapiens (human)
Lineage: Eukaryota; Metazoa; Chordata; Mammalia; Primates; Hominidae
Description: long non-coding RNA NONHSAT061503.2
Source: RNAcentral